UUUGGGGUUGAUUCACCCAUUCAUCCGAGGUUAACCUCUGUUUUGCAAGCUUGGCCGCAGCAUAAGCUGAACUCCUCCUAGCUCAUCUUGAUCACGCCAGAUUAAGGCCUGUGUCCAGAUUUGGUAUUAUUGGAAAAUAAUAUGCCUCUUCAAGUUUUAGCAGCUUAAGCUCAAAGCCCAAACGUAUGCCGCUUUUGAUGUUAAGCGACGUUUCAGCUAAUUAUGCUCCAACCAUUUGGGGUGACCAUUUUCUCUCAUAUGCCGCUUCUAUGGAAGUUGACAUCAAACUUGAGCAACAUAUCCAAGAACUGAAAGAAGAAGUGAAAAGGAUGCUAAUGGCUCCAGUUAACAAGCUUCAGAAAGAUUUGACAUGAUUGAAAACAAGCAGCGUUUACUCGUUUAGGCAUGUCCUACCAUUCUGAAAAUGAGAUCAAUGAAAUAUUGAAACAAAUCUACAACAGUUCUUACGGCAGUGAAGUUCUGGAAAAUGAUGAUUAUCAUUACACUAUCGCUCCCCGUUUUCGAUUGCUUAGACAAUAAGGCUAUAACGUUCUCUGUGGUAAAUUUGUCAUUCUUUCUUUCAUUAAUUUCUAAUAGCACUGUACAAAAUUAUUCUGUUUUCUAUAUAGAUUGUUAUGUACGUAUGUUCAAGGAAAGUCAUGGGACAGUUAAGGAAUUUCUUAUGAGCGAUGUAGUAGGACUAUCAACUUUGUACGAAGCCACUCAUCUUAGGGUUCAUGGAGAAGACGUACUUGAUAUAUGAGGCACUGUACUUCACCAGGACUCUUCUCGAGUCUACAGCACACCGUUUGACCUCCCCGUCAUUGAAACCAGUAACUAAUGACUUAUAUCAGCCACUUUGGAAGAGCUUUCCAAGGAAAGAAGCAAGGCAUAUAUUACUUCGAUCGUACAGAGUUGAUAGCCAUCGCUCGAUCAUAAGAAUUUCCUUAAAUGUCCAUUUAGUUUCCUUGAACUUGUUGAAUAUAUCUACAUGUAUAUUACCAACCAAUAAUGCUUUAGACAGCAAUAUGAUAUAACCAGUUAACAUGCGAACGUACGUACAAAGCAAUCUGUCUAGUAAAUAGAUAAAAGUUAUUUUAUAUAGUGCUAUUAGAAAUUAAUGAAAGAAAGAAUACAAAUUUACCGCACGUACAGGAAAAGUAGUUGUAGCCUAGCUCGUUGUCUUUUUUGAACAAUUGCAGCCCUCGUUGUCUAAGCAAUCGAAGACGGAGAUCAGUAGAGUAAAGGUCAUCAUCACACAGUGAUGAUUCACACUGAAAUUCUGCCGACUCAAUUUCCACCGUGUGCAAAGAAUCCAUCAGAAUGAACUUGUGGUGGAAGGACUUGGACAUUGUAAACAAGCUACUUUUCGUUUAUUCAAAAAAAAAUAAAAAAAAUCUACUUUUCGUAAGAGACAUGAUAAUUAUUUUGCCCUUUGGGAGUCUACCUUGAACUUGAAUAUUCGUUCGCAAUUCAAUUUGAAGUUAAUGCUUACUUCCAUGAAGCCAUAAAUGGUUGAAGGCAAUGCCUUCUUUACGAUGGCAACGACAGCGCGCAAGCUCUCCAUACAAAAGACUCCAUGGAUUGGGUGUUUAAUGACCCCAAUAUUUUAAAGGCUACAUCCAGGGGCGGAUCUAGGUACAGACUGGGGCGGGCUCAAGCCCGUCCGAGAUUUUUGAGCUUCAAAAAAAAAUUAGAUGUAUACUUACAAAGAAUUGUAUAUUGGCAUUGUCAAGCCCACUCGAAAGUACCAAGCUUGAAACUGCCGAACUCUCAGUCAAACUUUUUAGCUCUUAGCCUCUCAUGUUCUCUCAGAGACUCAGACCUUAAUUGGUCCAUCUCUUCUUCUUCUUCUUCUUAA
Molecule: long non-coding RNA, 1861 nt
Organism: Rosa chinensis
Lineage: Eukaryota; Viridiplantae; Streptophyta; Magnoliopsida; Rosales; Rosaceae
Exons: 3
Source: RefSeq, a predicted model, not a curated record